GGCUUUGUAAAAUAUACAAAUUUGUUAUGCUUUGAUACAUAUGUACUAAAAAACUCACACUGAAUGGUAAUUAUAGGGUAUUAGCUAGAAGCAACAGAGUAUUAUAAAUUCUGACUGUUUAAACAAUGGACUUUCAUUUAUGUUAAAAUUACCCUAACCCAAACUCUAGUGAAAUAAAAACAAAGAAUAGUUUAUAGGUAGAAUAUUAGCACCACAAUAUAUAUUUUCAUUAGCGGCAGCCUCAACAUUUUCUUUUUUU
RNAcentral lists this long non-coding RNA (259 nucleotides) under Bos taurus (domestic cattle). Its description in RNAcentral is "long non-coding RNA NONBTAT017062". The record is from RNAcentral. Lineage: Eukaryota; Metazoa; Chordata; Mammalia; Artiodactyla; Bovidae.